UCGAGGGGCAGCAUGGUCUUAGCUUGCUAAGGCUGAUGGCGACCGGCGCACGGGUGAGUAACACGUAUCCAACCUGCCUCAUACUCGGGGAUAGCCUUUCGAAAGAAAGAUUAAUACCCGAUGGCAUAGUUCUUCCGCAUGGUAGAACUAUUAAAGAAUUUCGGUCAUCGAUGGGGAUGCGUUCCAUUAGGUUGUUGGUGAGGUAACGGCUCACCAAACCUUCGAUGGAUAGGGGUUCUGAGAGGAAGGUCCCCCACAUUGGAACUGAGACACGGUCCAAACUCC
Molecule: ribosomal RNA, 285 nt
Filed under: uncultured Bacteroides sp.
Lineage: Bacteria; Pseudomonadati; Bacteroidota; Bacteroidia; Bacteroidales; Bacteroidaceae
Description: partial 16S ribosomal RNA
Rfam family: Bacterial small subunit ribosomal RNA
Source: RNAcentral